CACGUAGGCACCAAGCGUUGUCCGGAUUUAUUGGGCGUAAAGAGCUCGUAGGCGGUCUGUCGCGUCGGCUGUGAAAACUCGGGGCUCAACCCCGAGCCUGCAGUCGAUACGGGCAGACUAGAGUGCUGUAGGGGAGACUGGAAUUCCUGGUGUAGCGGUGAAAUGCGCAGAUAUCAGGAGGAACACCGGUGGCGAAGGCGGGUCUCUGGGCAGUAACUGACGCUGAGGAGCGAAAGCGUGGGGAGCGAACAGG
RNAcentral lists this ribosomal RNA (253 nucleotides) under uncultured bacterium. Its description in RNAcentral is "partial 16S ribosomal RNA". It matches the Rfam family "Bacterial small subunit ribosomal RNA", at positions 524 to 776 of the family's 1533-position model. The record is from RNAcentral.